RNAcentral lists this ribosomal RNA (291 nucleotides) under uncultured bacterium. Its description in RNAcentral is "partial 16S ribosomal RNA". It matches the Rfam family "Bacterial small subunit ribosomal RNA", at positions 9 to 287 of the family's 1533-position model. The record is from RNAcentral.
GAGUUUGAUCGUGGCUCAGGAUGAACGCUGGCGGCGUGCCUAACACAUGCAAGUCGAACGAAGCGACUGGAGGGAGUUUCGGAUGGAAUCCGGUUGACUGAGUGGCGGACGGGUGAGUAACGCGUGGAUAACCUGCCUCACACUGGGGGAUAACAGUUAGAAAUGGCUGCUAAUACCGCAUAAGCGCACAGUACCGCAUGGUACGGUGUGAAAAACCCAGGUGGUGUGAGAUGGAUCCGCGUCUGAUUAGCCAGUUGGCGGGUAACGCCCACCAAAGCGACGAUCAGUAGC